ACUCACCACAACAUCACCCUGAGCACACCCAGUCUUAUCUGAUUUCAGAAGCUAAGCAGGAUCAGGUUGAGUUAGUACUUGGAAGGGAGACCACAAGGGAUCUUCAGAUACAGCUAGGA
This 119-nucleotide ribosomal RNA is filed under the name Pogona vitticeps (central bearded dragon). The record is from RNAcentral. Lineage: Eukaryota; Metazoa; Chordata; Lepidosauria; Squamata; Agamidae.